GCCGCUCCUUGAGCGGUUGGCGAUGAGAGGAGGCCGUGGUUCUCACGGCCUGGGAGAAGACAGCAGGGGAGGAGAAAUUAGGGCAGGGCGGCGGCUGAUCAACAAUAUGUUGAUCACAGCCUGUUCUCAUUUUAUUGCAAUUAAGGUAUAAAUAACCUCCUAUUACAGAUUAACCUAAAAGGCCUUUAGCCUCUUUAUUCUACUGCUAAAAGGGCCUUGCUAACAACCCACUUAGCCUAAGCCGGUUCAGCCCCCUAAUUAGGACUACCAGCCUUGUUGCGGCGCCUGUACUGGACGCCCACCAUAACAUCUCUCGGCUCCUCGAGAAACAGCUCGUCCUCGAGCUGAAAUUUGGGGUAGCUUUCUCUGAACCGAGCCAAUGGUUCCCAAGUUGCCUCUGAUGCUGAAGACCCGGACCACUGCACAAGAAGGUGCCAUUCUUGGCGGCGUAGUCGUGCGCGCAGCACGCGCUCAGGUGUUGGCAGGACCCUCCCCUGGUGCAUCUCUGGGAGGGCUGGAGGAGCACUUGGCGUAUCACCUUUGAAGGGUUUGAGCAAGCCAACAUGGAAAACAUUAUGGAUGCGAGCGUCAUCUGGAAGUUGCAGCCGAUAAGCCACCGUCCCCACCUUUUCCAGCACCUGAAACGGACCUGCAUAUCUUGGACCCAGUUUGCUCUUCUUGUUGCCAACUAGUGCUCGUGCUUGGCUGUGUAGAAGUCGCAGCCAUACCCAGUCACCCACCUGGAAUUCCAGCUCACGAUGGUGUUCAUCAUAGUGCCGUUUUGCAUAUGCCUGUGCUUGCAGUAAUCUUUCUCGAACAUCCGAGAGAAAAAUGUCUCUGUCUUUUAAUAGAUCAUCGACUGCAUCUGUGGCUGCUGUUCCUUGUGUAUACGACAGUAAGGGUGGUGGUGACCUUCCAUAGACCACUUGGAAUGGUGUAGUGCGGAGAGCUGAGUGAAAGGCAGUGUUGUAGCAAUAUUCCGCCCAUGGCAACCAAUCGACCCACGCCCGCGGCCUAUCUCCUGUUAGGCAUCGCAGGUACAUGGCUAUAGUUUUAUUGACGACCUCGGACUGUCCAUCUGUCUGGGGGUGGAAAGCCGUGCUCAUGCGGAGUUUGACCCCAGCCACCUUGAAAAGAUCGCGCCAGAAGCUGCCUGUAAAGACUGGGUCACGAUCGCUGACAAUGGAAAGUGGAAAUCCAUGAAGACGGACUAUGUUGUCAAAGAAGGCUCGUGCCACUGAGGCUGCAGUAUAAGGAUGUCCCAGGGCAAUGAAAUGGGCAUAUUUGGAGAACCGAUCCACCACAGUUAAUAUGACUGAUUUGCCGUGCACCUUUGGGAGGCCUUCCACAAAGUCCAUCGCUAUGUCUGCCCAAACUUGUGAGGGAACUUCUAAGGGUUGCAGCAACCCUGCUGGGUGUAAGGCCUCAGUUUUGUUUUUCUGGCAGACUGUACAUGAUUUGACAAAGUCACGAACCAGAGUUCUGUCAUUUGGAAUGUAGAAGUCUGCGCGAAGCCUGUGUAAUGUCUUUUGGAACCCCCCAUGUCCCGCGCCAUGUGCUAGCUGUAGAAUAUGAAUUAUUGUGGGUGAUGUAGGUGGUACAAAUACCCUGGACCCAUGUAGUAUUAGGCCCUCUUGGAUGUGCCAUGGCGCCGAUUGGGUGCCAUUGAGGAUCUGUUCAUGUAGUUGUUUCCAUUCCGGUCUGCUGCUGCCAUCACUGCGUAUUUCAUCAUAUAGCUGGAACGAUGGUACAUAUAUGGCUAGGGACUCCAUUGCUUCAGCGUCCCUGCGGGAGAGAGCAUCCGCCACUGUGUUAAAACGUCCGGGUCGAUAUUCAACGGAAAAAUCAAACCCGAACAGUUUACUAAUCCAGUGGUGUUGCGGAACAGUUGAGAGGCGCUGGUCCAACAUGAACUUGAGGGCAAAAUGGUCUGUUCGAACCAGAAAACGACGGCCCCAUAAGUACGGCCUCCAAUGACGUACUGCCUGCACCAGACCGAUGAGCUCGCGUUCAUAAGCAGCGAGCUUCAAGUGUCGUGUGGCGAACGGUCUACUGAAGAAGGCAAUUGGGCCGUUGUCUUGAUGUAGCACUGCCCCAAACCCUGAACCGGAUGCGUCACAAUCCACGAUGAAUGAUUUGGUGAACUCCGGAAGGUGCAAAACCGGUGCUGUAGACAGUGCCUCCUUGAGUGCUGUAAAGGUUGUGGCUGCUUCUGCUGACCAUGCAAAACUGUCUUUUUUGAGGAGUUUGGUUAGGGGAGCUGCAAUUGUGCCAAAGUCCUUAAUAAAUUUGCGGUAAUAGCCCGCAAUUCCCAGAAAUCCUCGCAGCCCACGAGCUGAUUUAGGUGUUGGCCAGGCGGUGAUUGCUUCGACUUUGUCACUGUCCAUAGAGACCCCUGAUUCUGAGAUGACAUGUCCCAGGUAUACAAUAGAAGUGGCUCCAAAGCUGCAUUUAGAUUUCUUGACAAAUAAACUGUUGGUGCGAAGUAAAGUCAUCACUGCUCUGACAUGUUGAAGGUGGGCUGACCAGGACGGACUGUAUAUCAAUAUGUCAUCGAAGAAAACCAACACGCAGCGUCGCAACAGGGGCUGCAGUACAGAAUUCAUCAAGCUCUGGAACGUUGCUGGUGCAUUGGUAAGACCAAACGGCAUGACCAAAAAUUCAAAAUGACCAUGAUGUGUACGAAAGGCUGUCUUCUCAAUGUCAUCCUUGUGCAUACGGACCUGAUGGUACCCUGAACGGAGGUCCAACUUAGUGUAGAAUCGAGCUCCAUGGAGUUCAUCUAGCAACUCGUCAACCACUGGUAUAGGAUAUUUAUCCUUGAUAGUGUGUUCAUUGAGGGCUCUGUAAUCAAUGCAAAAACGCCAUGUAUUGUCUGGCUUCUUCACUAGGAGGACCGGGGCUGAGAAUGCGGAUGUACUGUGUCGGAUGAUACCACGGCGAAGCAUAUCCGCACAUUGAGCUUCUAAUUCAUCCUUUUGCAAUUGGGGGUAACGAUAUGGACGAACAGCUACUGGUGCAGUGCCUGGUUUCAGGUGGAUCCUGUGGUCACAAUGUCUGGCUGGCGGUACUGACUGAGGUUCCUCAAAGACAUCCUCAAAGGACUGCAGCAAGUGAUCCAUCAUGUGCUUGGGUUCAGUGCUGAUGCUACAUGUGGUUGGUGUAGUGGUGUCUGUUCGGACGGACCCCAAACCCUUCCACAGUAUGCGCCGACCUUCAUGCCAGAAGGCCAUGCAAAGGUCCUGGAGAUCCCAUAAUACUGGUCCCAAUGUUCUCAGGAAUGCUGUCCCUAGAAUGAUCUCAAAUGUAUCCAAGGGAAUUGCAUAUGCCUCAAUGGUGAACUUCUCCUUGUUGAUGUCAAUGGCUGCGCGACGAGUUACUCCCUGGCAGAAAACUGGGUCUCCAUUUGCCACCUUGACAUGGCGACCUGGUGUGGGUUCCAAAGUAACCCCACACUGUUGUGCUGCCUUGCAGUUGAUGAAGUUAUGUGUUGAACCCGUGUCAAGUAGGGCCAGCAGCUCCUGACCGUUGAGGACUACCCGCAGCUGCAUGGUGUCCUCCCUUCUAAUCCCAGUUAUUGCAUGUAGGGAAACCACUGGGUCCUGCUCUUCCUGGUCAUCAUCUGUGUCACCCUUGAUCUCAUCAUCAGCAAAGUCUGUGACCUCCAGAUAGAAUAGCCUGGGACAGCGGUGGCCUCGUACAUAGGGCUCGUCACAAUUGUAACAUAGCCCUUGUUUACGUCGUUCCGCCAUCUCGGCGGGGGUGAGGCGCUUGAACGGGACUGGUGAUUGUGUUGGUGGCUGCUGGGGUGUAUUCUUGGCAGCAUUGUCGGUCAUGUGUGUGAGCACCGGUGGCCGACCAGAUGGUCUGGGGGCCCUGCCAGUCUGCUGGGGCUGUUGAGCACUAUCAAUGACCUGAGAGCGACGUUCAUAUGCCCUUGCUAGUCGAGAAGCCUGCUGCAGAUUCUGUGGGUUCAUCAGCUCGACAUCGAUUUUAAUCCGCUCUGGCAAUCCCGCCGUGAAGAGCUGCACUUGCUGGUCAGGUGCCAACGGAGAGGUGUGGCACAACAGUGACGAGAAGCGCUCUUGGUAAUCAUCCACGGUUGUCCGGAAACGAAGACGGGCCAGUUCGCCUAAUGGGUUGGUGCGUAGUGGCGGACCAAAGCGCUCAUUGCAGAGCUCUUUGAAUUGAGGCCAUGUCACCGUUGCACAGUCCCGUUCCACCAUGAAAUACCAGGUAUGUGCUGCUCCCUUGAGGUGAUAGGAGGCGAGCCACACUUUGUCCUCCUCAAUCGUGCGUUGGCCUCUGAAAUACUGCUCGCAGUGGUUCAGCCAUUCGAGGGGAUCCUCCUUCCCAUCAAAUGUUGGAAACUCCAUCUUGUAGUGUCGCGGAGCUCCUGCGUCGAAAGACUGCGGGGUGGGAUGGGUUGGGAUAUGCUGUAAUGGCUGCUGUGGUAUGUAUGGUGGAAAGGAUGGAAGAGGUGACGGCGAGUGGGGCAUGGGGAUUUGGUGGAUUGGUAAUGUGUUGGAUGAUGGUGGAGCUGUAGCUGGUGGUGGCCUGGUGGAGGUCGAUGGUGCCUGUGUCUCUGGAAUGCCGCCAUAACCUGGGAGACCGUAAGGAAACCCUGGAUGGUUGCCGGCGGCGGACACUAUGGGAGUUGUGCGCCCAUCGAUUUCUGUCACAUGCAGCGCCAGAUUGGACACCUUGGUGGCGAGAUCUGCAAGGGCCUUCAUCAUGGUGUCCAUCUUCUGCUCCAGGGCUGCGCUGGUGGUGUUUGGCGCCGCAGCAGAUGCGACUUCGCUGGCAGUGUUGUCGUCGUUGCCCGGCAUCUCUGAUACCAGAUUGGUAUGCCCUCUUCUCCUUAGGUUGUAGCUGUGUGUGGUAGGUGGCCGCUCCUUGAGCGGUUGGCGAUGAGAGGAGGCCGUGGUUCUCACGGCCUGGGAGAAGACAGCAGGGGAGGAGAAAUUAGGGCAGGGCGGCGGCUGAUCAACAAUAUGUUGAUCACAGCCUGUUCUCAUUUUAUUGCAAUUAAGGUAUAAAUAACCUCCUAUUACAGAUUAACCUAAAAGGCCUUUAGCCUCUUUAUUCUACUGCUAAAAGGGCCUUGCUAACAGCCCACUUAGCCUAAGCCGGUUCAGCCCCCUAAUUAGGACUACCAGCCUUGUUGCGG
RNAcentral lists this long non-coding RNA (5170 nucleotides) under Zea mays. Its description in RNAcentral is "long non-coding RNA (ZMAY_LNC000089)". Lineage: Eukaryota; Viridiplantae; Streptophyta; Magnoliopsida; Poales; Poaceae. The record is from RNAcentral.